GCAGUUUUCGCGCAUGCGCACUCGUCUAAAGCUGAAAACGAAAAUGGUGGAUCAGACGACUUUUGUUAGGUUAAACAAUCAUCAUAAUCACCGUUAUUAAACGAUCAUCGAGACCAAAUACACAUGGUACAAUGACAGGUUGAUGUUCACCUAACCAUGCAAGUAUAACUUUGCAAAGACAUCUUCAUUGUUGACUACUUGAAGAAUAUUCAAAAUGCCAGCACGAAGGAAGACAAGAGUCGGCCAAAGAAAGAAAUACGCUUCUGUUCAGAAGAAAUCCAAAGUGUUUAAGAUUAAAGACGCUGUCGCAGCAGAAUCUGAUGCAUUCUUUGCAAAGCCACUGUAAAAAAAUAAAUAAAUAAA
Molecule: long non-coding RNA, 363 nt
Organism: Dreissena polymorpha
Lineage: Eukaryota; Metazoa; Mollusca; Bivalvia; Myida; Dreissenidae
Exons: 3
Source: RefSeq, a predicted model, not a curated record